UACAGGGGGUGCAAGCGUUGUUCGGAAUCACUGGGCGUAAAGAGUUCGUAGGCGGACCAAUUAGUAUAGGGUUAAAUCCCGGGGCCUAACCCCGGACCUGCUCUGUAAACGGUUGGUCUAGAGUAUUGGAGAGGAUAGCGGAAUACCUGGUGUAGAGGUGAAAUUCGUAGAUAUCAGGUGGAACACCAGAGGCGAAGGCGGCUAUCUGGCCAAGCACUGACGCUAAAGAACGAAAGCAUGGGGAGCAAACAGG
RNAcentral lists this ribosomal RNA (253 nucleotides) under uncultured bacterium. RNAcentral describes it as "partial 16S ribosomal RNA". It matches the Rfam family "Bacterial small subunit ribosomal RNA", at positions 524 to 776 of the family's 1533-position model. The record is from RNAcentral.